GAUGAACGCUGGCGGCGUGCUUAACACAUGCAAGUCGAACGGUGAAGCUCCAGCUUGCUGGAGUGGAUCAGUGGCGAACGGGUGAGUAACACGUGAGCAACCUGCCCCUGACUCUGGGAUAACAGCCGGAAACGGCUGCUAAUACCGGAUAUGCACCAUGAACGCAUGUUCUGUGGUGGGAAAGAUUUUUCGGUUGGGGAUGGGCUCGCGGCCUAUCAGCUUGUUGGUGAGGUAAUGGCUCACCAAGGCGUCGACGGGUAGCCGGCCUGAGAGGGUGACCGGCCACACUGGGACUGAGACUCGGCCCAGACUCCUACGGGAGGCAGCAGUGGGGAAUAUUGCACAAUGGGCGAAAGCCUGAUGCAGCAACGCCGCGUGAGGGAUGACGGCCUUCGGGUUGUAAACCUCUUUUAGCAGGGAAGAAGCGAGAGUGACGGUACCUGCAGAAAAAGCGCCGGCUAACUACGUG
Molecule: ribosomal RNA, 469 nt
Filed under: uncultured bacterium
Lineage: Bacteria
Description: partial 16S ribosomal RNA
Rfam family: Bacterial small subunit ribosomal RNA
Source: RNAcentral